GGCCCGCACAAGCGGUGGAGUAUGUGGUUUAAUUCGACGCAACGCGAAGAACCUUACCCAGUCUUGACAUCCCGGGACAACCAUAGAGAUAUGGCUUUUUCCUUCACGGGAAACUCGGUGACAGGUGCUGCACGGCUGUCGUCAGCUCGUGUCGUGAGAUGUUCGGUUAAGUCCGGUAACGAGCGCAACCCCUGUUGUUAGUUGCCAGCACGUAAUGGUGGGAACUCUAACAAGACUCCCGGUGUUAAACCGGCGGAAGAUGGGGACGACGUCAAGUCAUCAUGGCCCUUACGACUGGGGCUACACACGUACUACAAUGGCGACUACAAAGAGUAGCGAAACAGCAAUGUCAAGCCAAUCUCAAAAAGUCGCCUCAGUUCGGAUUGGAGUCUGCAACUCGACUCCAUGAAGUUGGAAUCGCUAGUAA
Molecule: ribosomal RNA, 427 nt
Filed under: uncultured bacterium
Lineage: Bacteria
Description: bacterial SSU rRNA
Rfam family: Bacterial small subunit ribosomal RNA
Source: RNAcentral